RNAcentral lists this ribosomal RNA (407 nucleotides) under uncultured bacterium. RNAcentral describes it as "partial 16S ribosomal RNA". It matches the Rfam family "Bacterial small subunit ribosomal RNA", at positions 30 to 526 of the family's 1533-position model. The record is from RNAcentral.
AUUGAACGCUAGCGGGAUGCCUUACACAUGCAAGUCGAACGGCGUGGCGAACGGGUGAGUAAUGUAUCGGAAAGUGCCCAGUAGCGGGGGAUAACUACGCGAAAGCGUAGCUAAUACCGCAUACUAUUGAAGCGGCCGAUAGCGGAUUAGCUUGUUGGUGAGGUAACGGCGCACCAAGGCGACGAUCCGUAGCUGGUUUAAGAGGACGACCAGCAACACUGUGACUGAGACACGGCCCAGACUCCUACGGGAGGAAGCAGUGGGGAAUGUUGGACAAUGGGGGAAACCCUGAUCCAGCCAUCCCGCGUGUGUGAUGAAGGCCUUCGGGUUGUAAAGCACUUUUGGCAGGAAAGCGGUACCUGCAGAAUAAGCACCGGCUAACUACGUGCCAGCAGCCGCGGUAAUAC